AACGAACGCUGGCGGCAUGCCUAACACAUGCAAGUCGAACGAGACCUUCGGGCCUAGUGGCGCACGGGUGCGUAACGCGUGGGAACCUGCCCUUAGGUUCGGAAUAACUCCCCGAAAGGGGUGCUAAUACCGGAUCUUGUCUUCCGACCAAAGUUUUAUCGCCUUUGGAUGGGCCUGCGUUGGAUUAGCUAGUUGGUAGGGUAAAAGCCUACCAAGGGUACGAUACAUAGCUGGUCUGAGAGGAUGAUCAGCCACACUGGGACUGAGACACGGCCCAGACUCCUACGGGAGGCAGCAGUGGGGAAUAUUGGACAAUGGGCGAAAGGCUGAACGAGCAAGGCCGCGUGAGUGAUGAAGGCCUUAGGGUUGUAAAGCUAUUUUACCCGGGAUGAUAAUGACAGUACCGGGAGAAUAAGCUCCGGCUAACUCCGUG
This 433-nucleotide ribosomal RNA is filed under the name uncultured bacterium. RNAcentral's name for it is "partial 16S ribosomal RNA". It matches the Rfam family "Bacterial small subunit ribosomal RNA", at positions 29 to 507 of the family's 1533-position model. The record is from RNAcentral.